UCUUUGAACCACCUCUUCACGCAAUCCGAUACAACCUCUGAUAGAGGCAGGCGCGUGCUGCUGUUGCCGUUGCCACUACAGCUGUUGACGUUUACUAUAUCGGCGCUGCUUUCCAUCUUCUUCGACUUGUCUCCGCCUGGGCGCUGAGUUCGGGAUGUGGGUUUUGCGUGUUUUGAGGGUUUUAGAUGCUUCGCAAGAUUGUGAAUCCU
This 209-nucleotide unclassified non-coding RNA is filed under the name Hevea brasiliensis (rubber tree). The record is from RNAcentral. Lineage: Eukaryota; Viridiplantae; Streptophyta; Magnoliopsida; Malpighiales; Euphorbiaceae.